Molecule: non-coding RNA, 717 nt
Organism: Oncorhynchus kisutch (coho salmon)
Lineage: Eukaryota; Metazoa; Chordata; Actinopteri; Salmoniformes; Salmonidae
Source: the annotation of a RefSeq genome assembly
UUGUAGGUAAACUAAGCAGAAAUUAUCAACAAUUAAACCUUGCAGAUGAAGUUGGUUUGGAGUAUUCAGCUUCCUUUGUACUAUUAGUCAGUUUGACUUCCAACCCCAGCCAUGUUGUUCAUCUGGUCACUUAUUAUAUUCUCAGUAAUAGGUGACACCUAUGAGCAGACUAUAGAGCCAAACCAACAUGAAGUGUAUGCAGAAGUGGGUAGUAAUGUUCUUCUUUCAUGCAACUACUCCUCAGCGUACAGUCUACUAUGGUAUAAACAGUCUCCAGGAUCAGCUCCCCAAUACCUUCUGCUCAUCCAGCACUCCACUGGGAAUGAAUAUAAAGAUGAUUCUCUUGACUCUCGCUUCUCUGGUAAACUGAACAAAGAGAAGACCCGUGUGGAUCUGGAGAUCUCCUCUGUUGAAGAGACAGACUCUGAUAUGUACUACUGUGCUCUGACUCCCACAGUGACAGGAAACCCAGAAACACUGCACAAAAACCUAACAUCGCCUGAGAGAGUGGCUCCUCCUCCUGACAGUGGAGGUGAAACUUUAGAGGAUGAUAUUACUCCAACCAGUCCUGAGGAGUAUUAUUUAGAGGGUAUCAGAGUAAAGAUCUCCUGUAACUAUACAGUGAAGGCAGAUGGUCUGCUGUGGUACAGACAGUACUCUGGAUCAGGUCUCCAAUUCCUUUACUUCGUAACAACUAACAAUAAUCCAUAUAGGUGA